UACGUAGGGCGCAAGCGUUGUCCGGAUUUAUUGGGCGUAAAGAGCUCGUAGGCGGUUUGUCGCGUCUUCCGUGAAAACUUGGGGCUUAACCCUGAGCUUGCGGUCGAUACGGGCAUGACUGGAGUUCGGCAGGGGAGACUGGAAUUCCCGGUGUAGCGGUGAAAUGCGCAGAUAUCGGGAGGAACACCGGCGGCGAAGGCGGCACUCUGGGCCGGUACUGACGCUGAGGAGCGAAAGCGUGGGGAGCAAACAGG
Molecule: ribosomal RNA, 254 nt
Filed under: uncultured bacterium
Lineage: Bacteria
Description: partial 16S ribosomal RNA
Rfam family: Bacterial small subunit ribosomal RNA
Source: RNAcentral